GGGGGCGACCUGGUUUCGACGUGGGUUACAAAGCAGCGCAGGGCAUACCGAGGGCUGGCUACCUCGUAAAUACAACCAGAAAAUAUAUAACUGCAAACGAUAACUCGUACGCACUAGCAGCUUAAUCGCUGUCUAGCUCUACACCAUCUCGUCUCUGGGGUGGGCUGGCAACAGCAGUAGAGUCAUUUACAGAGAAUCGCUUUUAGUCGGGUUACCUGGCUAAAAGUUAAAUUUAGGUAACUCGUUUGACCGCAGCGUGUGCGUCCGCGUCGGCCAGAUUAAAUCAAAUGGCAGCACUAAGUAUGUAGAACUGUCUGUAGAGGACUUGCGGACGCGGGUUCGAUUCCCGCCGCCUCCACCA
RNAcentral lists this transfer-messenger RNA (361 nucleotides) under Glaciimonas soli. RNAcentral describes it as "Standard tmRNA". It matches the Rfam family "transfer-messenger RNA". Rfam says of the family: Bacterial tmRNA, also known as 10Sa RNA or SsrA, is named for its dual tRNA and mRNA-like properties. Its role is to liberate the mRNA from a stalled ribosome. Lineage: Bacteria; Pseudomonadati; Pseudomonadota; Betaproteobacteria; Burkholderiales; Oxalobacteraceae. The record is from Rfam by way of RNAcentral.